CUACGUGCCAGCAGCCGCGGUAAUACGGAAGGUCCGGGCGUUAUCCGGAUUUAUUGGGUUUAAAGGGAGCGUAGGCUGGAGAUUAAGUGUGUUGUGAAAUGUAGACGCUCAACGUCUGACUUGCAGCGCAUACUGGUUUCCUUGAGUACGCACAACGUUGGCGGAAUUCGUCGUGUAGCGGUGAAAUGCUUAGAUAUGACGAAGAACUCCGAUUGCGAAGGCAGCUGACGGGAGCGCAACUGACGCUGAAGCUCGAAGGUGCGGGUAUCGAACAGGAUUAGAUACCCUGGUAGUCCGCACAGUAAACGAUGGAUGCCCGCUGUUGGUACCUGGUAUCAGCGGCUAAGCGAAAGCAUUAAGCAUCCCACCUGGGGAGUACGCCGGCAACGGUGAAACUCAAAGGAAUUGACGGGGGCCCGCACAAGCGGAGGAACAUGUGGUUUAAUUCGAUGAUACGCGAGGAGCCUUACCCGGGCUUGAA
Molecule: ribosomal RNA, 481 nt
Filed under: uncultured bacterium
Lineage: Bacteria
Description: bacterial SSU rRNA
Rfam family: Bacterial small subunit ribosomal RNA
Source: RNAcentral